RNAcentral lists this ribosomal RNA (385 nucleotides) under uncultured bacterium. Its description in RNAcentral is "bacterial SSU rRNA". It matches the Rfam family "Bacterial small subunit ribosomal RNA", at positions 355 to 757 of the family's 1533-position model. The record is from RNAcentral.
UGGGGAAUCUUGCGCAAUGGUCGAAAGACUGACGCAGCCAUGCCGCGUGAAUGAUGAAGGUCUUAGGAUUGUAAAAUUCUUUUAGUAGGGACGAUAAUGACGGUACCUACAGAAAAAGCCCCGGCUAACUUCGUGCCAGCAGCCGCGGUAAUACGAAGGGGGCUAGCGUUGCUCGGAAUUACUGGGCGUAAAGGGAGCGUAGGCGGGUUGACAAGUUGGAGGUGAAAGCCCAGGGCUCAACCCUGGAAUUGCCUUCAAAACUGUCAGCCUUGAGUAUGGAAGAGGUAAGUGGAACUCCGAGUGUAGAGGUGAAAUUCGUAGAUAUUCGGAAGAACACCAGUGGCGAAGGCGACUUACUGGUCCAUGACUGACGCUGAGGCUCGAA